CGGACGGGUGAGUAAUGUCUGGGAAACUGCCUGAUGGAGGGGGAUAACUACUGGAAACGGUAGCUAAUACCGCAUAACGUCGCAAGACCAAGGAGGGGGACCUUCGGGCCUCUUGCCAUCGGAUGUGCCCAGAUGGGAUUAGCUAGUAGGUGGGGUAACGGCUCACCUAGGCGACGAUCCCUAGCUGGUCUGAGAGGAUGGCCAGCCACACUGGAACUGAGACACGGUCCAG
RNAcentral lists this ribosomal RNA (232 nucleotides) under uncultured bacterium. Its description in RNAcentral is "partial 16S ribosomal RNA". It matches the Rfam family "Bacterial small subunit ribosomal RNA", at positions 99 to 334 of the family's 1533-position model. The record is from RNAcentral.